AGUGAACGCUGGCGGUAGGCCUAACACAUGCAAGUCGAACGGCAGCACAGUAAGAGCUUGCUCUUACGGGUGGCGAGUGGCGGACGGGUGAGGAAUACAUCGGAAUCUACUUUUUCGUGGGGGAUAACGUAGGGAAACUUACGCUAAUACCGCAUACGACCUACGGUUGAAAGCAGGGGAUCUUCGGACCUUUCGCGAUUGAAUGAGCCGAUGUCGGAUUAGCUAGUUGGCGGGGUAAAGGCCCACCAAGGCGACGAUCCGUAGCUGGUCUGAGAGGAUGAUCAGCCACACUGGAACUGAGACACGGUCCAGACUCCUACGGGAGGCAGCAGUGGGGAAUAUUGGACAAUGGGCGCAAGCCUGAUCCAGCCAUACCGCGUGGGUGAAGAAGGCCUUCGGGUUGUAAAGCCCUUUUGUUGGGAAAGAAAAGCAGCAGGUUAAUACCCCGCUGUUCUGACGGUACCCAAAGAACAAGCACCGGCUAACUUCGUG
Molecule: ribosomal RNA, 492 nt
Filed under: uncultured bacterium
Lineage: Bacteria
Description: partial 16S ribosomal RNA
Rfam family: Bacterial small subunit ribosomal RNA
Source: RNAcentral